This 207-nucleotide ribosomal RNA is filed under the name uncultured bacterium. RNAcentral describes it as "partial 16S ribosomal RNA". It matches the Rfam family "Bacterial small subunit ribosomal RNA", at positions 568 to 774 of the family's 1533-position model. The record is from RNAcentral.
CUCGUAGGCGGUUCGUCGCGUCCGGCGUGAAAGUCCAUCGCUUAACGGUGGAUCCGCGCCGGGUACGGGCGGGCUGGAGUGCGGUAGGGGAGACUGGAAUUCCCGGUGUAACGGUGGAAUGUGUAGAUAUCGGGAAGAACACCAAUGGCGAAGGCAGGUCUCUGGGCCGUUACUGACGCUGAGGAGCGAAAGCGUGGGGAGCGAACA